AGCAGCCGCGGUAAUUCCAGCUCCAAUAGCGUAUAUUAAAGUUGUUGCAGUUAAAAAGCUCGUAGUUGAAUUUCGGGAUCAAUAUAUCGGUCGUGCCAUUGGUACGUACUGGUAUCAUUGGUUUCUCCUUUCUGACGAACCAUGAUGUCAUUAAUUUGGUGUUAUGGGAAGUUAGGACUGUUACUUUGAAAAAUUAGAGUGUUUAAAGCAGGCUUUAGCUUGAAUACAUUAGCAUGGAAUAAUGAAAUAGGACGUUCGAACCUAUUUUGUUGGUUUCUAGGAUCAACGUAAUGAUUAAUAGGGAUAGUUGGGGGCAUUAGUAUUCAAUUGUCAGAGGUGAAAUUCUUGGAUUUAUUGAAGACUAACUACUGCGGAAGCAUUUGCCAAGGAUGUUUUCAUUAAUCAAGAACGAAAGUUAGGGGAUCGAAGACGAUCAGAUACCGUCGUAGUCUUAACCAUAAACUAUGCCGACUAGGGAUCGGACGAUGUUAAUUUUUUAAUGACUCGUUCGGCGCCUUAC
This 520-nucleotide ribosomal RNA is filed under the name uncultured Glomus. RNAcentral's name for it is "SSU rRNA". It matches the Rfam family "Eukaryotic small subunit ribosomal RNA", at positions 569 to 1091 of the family's 1831-position model. Lineage: Eukaryota; Fungi; Glomeromycota; Glomeromycetes; Glomerales; Glomeraceae. The record is from RNAcentral.